This 19-nucleotide ribosomal RNA is filed under the name uncultured Pseudomonas sp. Its description in RNAcentral is "partial 23S ribosomal RNA". The record is from RNAcentral. Lineage: Bacteria; Pseudomonadati; Pseudomonadota; Gammaproteobacteria; Pseudomonadales; Pseudomonadaceae.
CAAGUGAAGAAGCGCAUAC